UAGGGAAUCUUCCGCAAUGGGCGAAAGCCUGACGGAGCAACGCCGCGUGAGUGAUGAAGGUCUUCGGAUCGUAAAACUCUGUUAUUAGGGAAGAACAAAUGUGUAAGUAACUAUGCACGUCUUGACGGUACCUAAUCAGAAAGCCACGGCUAACUACGUGCCAGCAGCCGCGGUAAUACGUAGGUGGCAAGCGUUAUCCGGAAUUAUUGGGCGUAAAGCGCGCGUAGGCGGUUUUUUAAGUCUGAUGUGAAAGCCCACGGCUCAACCGUGGAGGGUCAUUGGAAACUGGAAAACUUGAGUGCAGAAGAGGAAAGUGGAAUUCCAUGUGUAGCGGUGAAAUGCGCAGAGAUAUGGAGGAACACCAGUGGCGAAGACGACAUUCUGGUCUAUAACUGACGCUGAUGUGCGAAAGCGUGGGGAUCAAACAGG
This 429-nucleotide ribosomal RNA is filed under the name Actinomycetes bacterium. Its description in RNAcentral is "Actinobacteria bacterium partial 16S ribosomal RNA". It matches the Rfam family "Bacterial small subunit ribosomal RNA", at positions 355 to 776 of the family's 1533-position model. The record is from RNAcentral. Lineage: Bacteria; Bacillati; Actinomycetota; Actinomycetes.